AUCCAAUUGCUUAGUUCCAAAUAGGACGAAACGCACGUCCUGGAU
This 45-nucleotide non-coding RNA is filed under the name Schistosoma mattheei. The record is from RNAcentral. Lineage: Eukaryota; Metazoa; Platyhelminthes; Trematoda; Strigeidida; Schistosomatidae.